GUAGUUAGCCGGGGCUUCCUCCUUGGCUACCGUCACUUUCUUCGUCACUAAGAACAGAGGUUUACAAUCCGAAAACCUUCAUCCCUCACGCGGCGUUGCUGGGUCAGGCUUUCGCCCAUUGCCCAAUAUUCCCCACUGCUGCCUCCCGUAGGAGUCUGGACCGUGUCUCAGUUCCAGUGUGGCCGAUCAGCCUCUCAGCUCGGCUACCCAUCGUCGACUUGGUGGGCCGUUACCCCGCCAACUAUCUAAUGGGACGCGAGCCCCUCCUUCAGCGAAUUGCUCCUUUGACCCCUCUACCAUGCGGUAGCGUGGUCUCAUGCGGUAUUAGCAGUAAUUUCUCACUGUUAUCCCCCUCUGAAGGACAGGUUGCUCACGCGUUACUCACCCGUUCGCCACUAACUCAAGGAGCAAGCUCCUCUCGUCCGUUCGACUUGCAUGUGUUAGGCACGCCGCCAGCGUUCGUCCUGAGCCAGAAUCGAACCCUGA
Molecule: ribosomal RNA, 486 nt
Filed under: uncultured bacterium
Lineage: Bacteria
Description: partial 16S ribosomal RNA
Source: RNAcentral